RNAcentral lists this long non-coding RNA (595 nucleotides) under Fukomys damarensis (Damara mole-rat). RNAcentral describes it as "lncRNA (ENSFDAG00000022192.1)". Lineage: Eukaryota; Metazoa; Chordata; Mammalia; Rodentia; Bathyergidae. The record is from RNAcentral.
AUAAAUGUCUUUUCCAUGUCCACAACUCAUAAGUGGGUUUUAUUCCUGGAAUUUUUGCUGCAUAUUUAUGUGAUUUUCUCUACCAUACUUGGAAACAGAAAAACUUCACAAAAAGAAGCUGAACAUUGGUAUUAAACGUCAGGAUGAAAACCACAAAUCAUUCACCUUGCCAGAGAGAAGUUUGACUUAUUGCUGUGGUCAACAUGGCUUAUGGACACCAAGGACAAUUUACACUUCCGGUCCCCCAGCUUUCCACAUUGUGGAUGUAAUGAAGGCAGCCAUCUUCAAAACAAGUCAGUUGCUACCAGGCAACAGAGUUGCACCAACUUCAUCUAGGGUUUCUCAGCCUUCAGAGCUAUAAGAAAUAAAUGUUGUCGCUAAGAAACAGAGGAUCCAAGGUUCCUAGGAUUUGAAAAAUGAAGCAGAAGUGCCAUUUGUUGUGCACUGUUGUGUUUUGCUGAGAAAAUAAGUUACAUAUUGCAUGUCUCAAAAUUAUCAUGUAAUAAUUGGACAUUGACAAGUGGGGAAGAUAAACUCAAUGACAUUUUCUAAUUGUGAAUAAAUAAUUUUCUGGACAGAAUAAAAGAGAAAGAGC